Molecule: long non-coding RNA, 273 nt
Organism: Helianthus annuus (common sunflower)
Lineage: Eukaryota; Viridiplantae; Streptophyta; Magnoliopsida; Asterales; Asteraceae
Exons: 2
Source: RefSeq, a predicted model, not a curated record
AGGUAAAGAAUCCGGGUCGUCAAGUGGACAAGUCGGGGGUGAUACACGCUUAAAGGGUGCGCUUUGAAGGUACAGCUCGUGGUCAUGGAUGUUGAUCAAGCAAUGGGAUUCAAGAACCGAACACAUAUUUUGAAUGCUUCCGCGAUUAUCUACUCAAGCUAGACGUAGAUGUUGUUGUUGAAACUUUGUUAAAUGUCAUGUUUUUAAACAAGUUAGUACGUUAUGUUACUUAUUAACUUAACUUUGUAAAAACCAAAAAUAUGUUUUGUUGUA